UCUAUUGAGAGUCCCGACUUGACGGAGGUUAUGGAGAACUCGUCAAACCCCAUCAUUAGUCAUAUGCUAGAUUGGCUCGACUCGAGUUCAUUUAUGAAUCUCGUGAAAACUCUUUUUCAGUAUUCACACUUACUUUGGCUAGAGAUUUUCUGAACUUAAUCUUAUGAAUCGUUUAGGACUUCUCCUUUUCUACCAAGAUCGAUAGAUUCUAUCUAGAUGUAUCCUACUCCAAACAACAAAUCUGAAUCUACAUAGCCAACAUACACAGCAAAGAUCCAUAUGGUUAGGAACCAAGAGAUCAUACAGUCAAACUAUAUAGCCUCAUUGUGAA
This 331-nucleotide long non-coding RNA is filed under the name Elaeis guineensis (African oil palm). RNAcentral's name for it is "long non-coding RNA (EGUI_LNC074078)". The record is from RNAcentral. Lineage: Eukaryota; Viridiplantae; Streptophyta; Magnoliopsida; Arecales; Arecaceae.